This 253-nucleotide ribosomal RNA is filed under the name uncultured bacterium. RNAcentral's name for it is "partial 16S ribosomal RNA". It matches the Rfam family "Bacterial small subunit ribosomal RNA", at positions 524 to 776 of the family's 1533-position model. The record is from RNAcentral.
UACGUAGGGUGCAAGCGUUAGUCGGAAUUACUGGGCGUAAAGCGUGCGCAGGCGGUUAUGCAAGACAGAUGUGAAAUCCCCGGGCUCAACCUGGGAACUGCAUUUGUGACUGCAUGGCUGGAGUGCGGCAGAGGGGGAUGGAAUUCCGCGUGUAGCAGUGAAAUGCGUAGAUAUGCGGAGGAACACCGAUGGCGAAGGCAAUCCCCUGGGCCUGCACUGACGCUCAUGCACGAAAGCGUGGGGAGCAAACAGG